RNAcentral lists this ribosomal RNA (1463 nucleotides) under Burkholderia sp. PE-CR09. RNAcentral describes it as "partial 16S ribosomal RNA". It matches the Rfam family "Bacterial small subunit ribosomal RNA". The record is from RNAcentral. Lineage: Bacteria; Pseudomonadati; Pseudomonadota; Betaproteobacteria; Burkholderiales; Burkholderiaceae.
GUGAGAGUCGUACGGUAGCCCGGGGUUCGGCCGGGGGGCAAGGGGCAAACGGGGAAAGCGGUAAUCGAAACUUUCCCGGGAGGGGGGGAGAGCCCGGCAAAAGCCGGAUUAAUACCCCAACCCCUCGGGAAAGGAAAGGGGGGGACUUAAAAGCCUCCCCCUCAAGGGGGGGCCGAUGGAAAAUUACUUAGUUGGGGGGGUAAGGGCCUACCAAGGCAACAAUUUGUAGCUGGUCUGAGAGGACGACCAGCCCCACUGGGACUGAGACACGGCCCAAACUCCUACGGGAGGCGCGGUGGGGGAGUUUUGGACAUUGGGGGCAACCCUGAUCCACCAAUGCGCCGUGUGUGAGAAAGGCCUUCGGGUUGUAAAGCAUUUUUGUCCGGAAAGAAAAUUUUCCCCCUAAUACGGUGGGAGGAUGACGGUACCGGAAAAAUAAGCACCGGCUACUUACUUGCCGCGCAGCAGCGUGAUAAUACGUAGCGGCGACCGCUUAUUCGGAUCCUACUGGCCUAAAGGCGUGCGCAGGCGGUGCUGUAAAACCAAUGUAAAAUCCCCGGGCUUAACCUGGAAACUUGAAUUGUGUGACUGCAGCGCUGGAGUAUGGCAGAGGGGGGUGGAAUUCCACGUGUACCAGUGAAAUGCAUAGAGAUGGUGGAAGAACACCGAAUGGCGAAGGCAGCCCCCUGGGCCAAUACUGACGCUCAUGCACGAAAGCGUGGAGAGCAAACAGAGAUUAGAUACCCUGGUACUCCACGCCCCUAAACGAUGUCAACUGGGUGUCGGGCCUUCAUUGGCUUGGAAACGUAGCUAACGCGUGAAGUUGACCCCCAGGGGAGUACCGUCGCAAGAUUAAAACUCAAAGGAAUUAGACAGAGACCAGCACAAGCGGGAGGAUGGACGUGCAUUAAUAUCGAUGCAACGCGAAAAACCUUACCUACCCUUAGAACAUAUACCGAAGACUGUCCACGAGAGGAUGGUAGUGCCCGCAAAGGGAGCCAGGAACAGCACGUGCUGCGAUGGCUGUCGUCAGCGUCGCUGUCGCUGGAUGAUGUUGGGUUAAUGUCCCGCAACGAGCGUCAACCAUUAGUCCCUGGUUGUCUACCCAAGAGCACUCCAGCGAGACUUGCUUGCAAUGGUAGACAAACCGGAGGAAGGCGGGGAGGACGUCAAGUCCUCAUGGCCCUGUAUGGUGAGAGGGAGUUGCACACGUCAUAUCAAUGGUCGGAACAGAGGGUCGUGAAGCCGCGAGGUGGAGCCAAUCCCAGAAAACCGAUCGUAGUCCGGAUUGCAGUCUGCAACUCGACUGCGUGAAGCUGGAAUCGCUAGUAAUCGCGGAUCAGCAUGCCGCGGUGAAUACGUUCCCGGGUUUUGUACACACCCCCCGUCUCACCAUGGGAGUGGGUUUCCCCUUACACUAGUCUAACCGCAAAGAGGACGGUCACCACGGUAGGAUCACUACU